RNAcentral lists this ribosomal RNA (245 nucleotides) under uncultured Bifidobacterium sp. Its description in RNAcentral is "partial 16S ribosomal RNA". It matches the Rfam family "Bacterial small subunit ribosomal RNA", at positions 524 to 768 of the family's 1533-position model. The record is from RNAcentral. Lineage: Bacteria; Bacillati; Actinomycetota; Actinomycetes; Bifidobacteriales; Bifidobacteriaceae.
UACGUAGGGUGCAAGCGUUAUCCGGAAUUAUUGGGCGUAAAGGGCUCGUAGGCGGUUCGUCGCGUCCGGUGUGAAAGUCCAUCGCUUAACGGUGGAUCCGCGCCGGGUACGGGCGGGCUUGAGUGCGGUAGGGGAGACUGGAAUUCCCGGUGUAACGGUGGAAUGUGUAGAUAUCGGGAAGAACACCAAUGGCGAAGGCAGGUCUCUGGGCCGUCACUGACGCUGAGGAGCGAAAGCGUGGGGAG